UUAAACCAAUGUUUCUUUGAUUUCUGCCUCUUGACGAGGUCCUCAUUCCUUAUCCCCCAACAACCCCUCCACUAUAUCACUAUUUCUUUCGCUCGGUGAUGCCAUACAUUUGUUCAUCUUCUUCACAAUUUAUAUCACCCUCUCCUUAUCUCAUUCGUUGAAUACCUUCCACCUUCAACCACCUACUUCCCCCACCGUCUCCACCGCAUUCUUUUCAAACCAUACUCCUCUUUAUGCCGUCGAUUUUUCUGACUCGAUCUUAGAUUGGUUGGGUGAUACAAACAACAGUGCAGUCGUGAGGCUCGGGUUAGCAUGAAUCAUCGAACCCCCACCACAAGGCCAAGUGAUAAACACAUCAGGGCUGCUCUAAUUUGAUGAAGAUUGAAAAAAAAUGGUCUAUUCUCACAAUCGAGCCCUAAAUCUAUAUGGAUUCAAGCUUAUGUUUUUAUUUUGUCAUUCUCUAAUUCACUCUCAUAUAAUGUUGUCGAUCAUUAGGGUUUAUAUCGCCUCCCUCCUGGAUUAUAGCAAGGUACGUUAUCCUUACAAAUUCCCUUUGUUGGUACAUUUUUUAUUUCAUCACAAGUUAUCAAUUAGUUUUUGUCUUUCUUUGAGUCCCAGAGUUUCUAUAUAUCACCGGACCCUCAUCAUCUGUUUUUUUGUACACACGAUAUUGAACAAAAUCAGGACCAAAUAAGAAUCAAGGAAGACAAAACUUGAUUCAAAAACCAUUUACCCACUAAAGUUUUGUUUCAUUUCAUAUUCUAAUCUGUAUGUUAUGUAUUUAUUUGUUUUGUGCAUUAGUUCUAAUUUAAUUGGGUUUUAAGAUUUUUUAGGUUCUUCAAACUUUAUGAUUGAUGGUGUAGUUUCUUGUUUUUUUUCAAGUUAUUUUAAGUCAAACAUAGCUUUCUUCCAUCUUUUCCUCUAAAAAAAAUUCAAAAUCGAACUUGCAUAUCAAUUCCUUCUUCAGUGGAAUGGAAUGGGCUAUUCCACUGAAAUGGAAAAAAUUUUGUUUUUGAGUUUGUUUCCUUCUGUAGGGCAUGCAAUCUGGAUAUUAUUCUCAUAUUAUGUGGUUUGGGUGUUAACAUUCGUAUGGGUAUCAAAAUUAUUGUUUAGUUUGGAUUUUGUGAUUGUUUAAGGUUAAUACAAUUAAAAUGGGAUAUCUAAGGCCAAAGAAACUUUACUAAAUUAAGCUUUUACAUAAGCUCUCUCUCUCUCUCUCUAUAUAUAUAUAUAUAUAUAUAUANNNNNNNNNNNNNNNNNNNNNNNNNNNNNNNNNNNNNNNNNNNNNNNNNNNNNNNNNNNNNNUUACACCUAGUGUGUGUGUGUGUGUGUGUGUGUGUAUAUAUAUAUAUAUAUAUAUAUAUAUAUAUAUCCCUUUGUGUGUGUGUGUAUGUGUGUGUUUUUUUCUCUCUCAUGAUUCCUUAUCUAAUGCAAAAACAACUUUACUAAAGUGCAAGGAGCUUGCAAGAAACGAUAAAAGAAGAUCCCCUUUCUAAUCCUAAAAUCUACCAUUUAUUGCAAGCCUAAAAAACUGGUGAAAUCUCUUUUUUUUCUUCUAUUUUAUAUUUGCUUAAGUUCUUUGGUUUGUGUGUUUUAUUAUAUGGUGGCUAAAGGAUUUCAUAAGUCUUGAACUAUAGUUUCUAAUUUCAUACAAUUUGUGUAUUUUUUUUUGCCACUUUUUUAGAAGUUGUCACCGAACAUUCAAGGUAAGCAACAGUUUCUAGCAAUUAUUUGGUUAUUGUGGCUAUAGAGAGGAAUGAGGGCCAUGAUUCAUGGUUAAACUCAUAUACAUAUUUCCAUGGAUGUUAAUUUCAUCUUGAUUUUUCAUGCAUUUUUGUUUUUUGAUUUCAUAUUGAGAUUGCUUUGGUUUAUUAUUUUUGGAUACAUAAAUAAAUGAUUAUGUUGUUUUGUCAUUGUUUCUUUUGAAAUAUAAAAUGUUUUUGGUAAUUUAUUAAUAUGGUUUUGUUGGUUUGAAUGUAGGUGGAAGUCAUAGCACUCCAUCCAAAGAUGGAUAAAGGUAAGUUACUACUUCUAAUGCAUUUUAUUUGAUAGGUUUUUCUAUAGUUUCUACUUUCUACUAUCCCUACCUAACCAUGAGUAUAGGUCUGUGCAAUGAUUUCACCAAAUUGAUAUUAUCAACAAGGGUACCUAUGUGUUUUUGGAAUUGUAUGUAUGUUAUUAGUGAAAAACUAUCAAGGAACAAAUGAAAUUUUUUUUGUUAUCAUUUUCAUAUUUUCAGAAAGUAACUUAGGUCAUGAUUGGUUGCCUUGGGGAUUUUAUUCUGAUAGUUGGAAUUUGAAUUCCUUCUGUGAUUUUGACUAUUUUACCCCUAUUGAUUAUUGUUGCUUGGUUGCCGCCCUUAUAUUUUUUUUUUGCCCUUGGUUAUUUUUUAGACUAACAUUAAAGAUGGUGGACAUGGUAGAGCUCAUUGUUGUCAUAAUUUUAGGGUAUGUUUUAAUUUGGUCCAUUUUGCCCCUUGUUUUUUCUUUGGUUUUGAAGUUAAAUAGGAGAACAUAUUGAACCAGGUCAAUCUUGAUUUUCAUAGUAAAUAGUGGUUUUGCAUAAUAAAUAAUAAGUAUGACUUCAAGUUCUGCUAAUAAGCCCAAAAUAGACUUCAAAUUCCAAAAUCACCACGUUAGA
This 2640-nucleotide long non-coding RNA is filed under the name Lactuca sativa (garden lettuce). Its description in RNAcentral is "long non-coding RNA (LSAT_LNC008776)". Lineage: Eukaryota; Viridiplantae; Streptophyta; Magnoliopsida; Asterales; Asteraceae. The record is from RNAcentral.